UCUGACCCCGGGGUUAAUCGUGUCUGGGGCCUUUGCUGCUGCCGCACUGAUCUCAGCUGCCUACUGUAGUCGAUCAGCUGCGCCUUCAGGGAGCAGACUCUCUCUGACUGUUCCUUCUCUUCCGAAAGGGAUAAUAUUUGUUGGGGUUCUAAUAGCCAUCUCUCAAAUCACCAAAUAUUAAUUAGCAAGUCUAGGAUGCUGUUCAACUGUGGGGGGCAUCGCCAUUUACCUUGAUCCUCUCCUUAGUGGCUGUCCCAUUGAGGAGCUGGACUGCAACUUCAAAUGUGAACACUCCAUUACUUUCCCAGUAAUGGGGACAGUGUGAACUUCUUGGUGCUGAAUUCUUUGACAGUUUGUUUGUUUAUUUAUUUAUUUCUCCCCCCCCCCCCCCCAGUUUCUGAGCUCAAAUGGAGGAGGUCGCCCAGGGUUCUGAGGGGGCAGCUGGAGAUGCAGUGACUACAGGGAGUAAGCACGAUGUCGCUCACACUUCAGGGAAGAUCCCAAUCUACACGAAAGCCUCUCUCCUUGACAGUGGGGAGGAUGUUGAGAUGAGCAACGAUGACACAGAUGAGGAGGACACAAGUGAACUCCCCUCUUUGGAAGACUUGGGACUUACUGAGGUCCAGAAUGCAGCUGAGGAAAAUUCCAAUACCAGCAUCAAGGAGAUGAACGAAGAGGCUAGAAGCAGGGCAGGAAAUGAGGACAGUCCACAGGAACCAGAUGACGAGUGGCUUCAGGUCCUGGGGAAUGGGCUGCUGAAGAAGAAGGUUCUGGUAGCUGGCCAGAGUCAGGAGCCAAGGCCACAGAAAGGUCAGAAUGUAACUGUGAGGCUGAAGAUGGCAUUGGAGGAUGGGACAGAGGUGGAGGAAGAUCCCAAUCGGUGUUUCACCGUGGGGGACGGUGACGUUAUCCAGGCAUUAGAUCUCUGUGUUCAGCUGAUGGAUCAGGACGAAGUUGCGUUAAUUAUCUCGGAUGCAAAGUAUGCUUACGGCAGUCUGGGCAGCUCCGAGCCCAGUGUGCCCUCAAAUGCCACUGUCCAUUUGGAGGUUCAGCUUCUGUCUGUGCGUGACAGCCCAGACUUGGAGUUGUUGUCAGGGAAGGAGAGACUGCUGCUGGCUAAUAAGAAACGAGAGCGAGGAAACGUGUAUUUCUUGCGCAGUGAAUAUGUCUUUGCAAUCAGCUCCUACGAUAUUGCUCUCAAUAUUGUCAACUCCAGCUCCAAAGUUGACUUUCUGGAGGGGGAAGAGGAGGAGUUGAUGAACGUGAAGGUGAAAUGUUUGAAUAAUCUGGCAGCUGCCCAGCUAAAGCUUGAACACUUUGAGGCAGCUCUGAAAUCCUCGAAUGCAGCCCUUCAGCACCAACCGAACAACGUCAAGGCCCUCUUCAGGAAAGGAAAGGUCCUGGCCUUGCAGGGUGAAUACACAGAGGCCAUUCCCGUCCUCCGGAAAGCUGCACAGCUUGAACCAUCAAAUAAGUUGCUGUUGCUGCUGCUCUGCAGGCGAUUCAAGCUGAACUCUCCCAGGUCGUGAGGAAGCAGUCAGAGCAGCGGACCACUGAGCAGGCCAUGUAUCGCAAGAUGCUCGGAGACAUAGCAUUGCCACCCCGCUGCCCACCAUCACCAUCAUCCUGGAGGAUUCCUUGGAAGUGGCUGUUUGGAGCAACUGUGGUUGCUGUCGGAGGUGUGGCUAUGUCAGUCAUCAUCGCUGCAAGAACCUGAUACUUAAUAGUCAGAGUAACACUCUUAAAGGGACAAGCCACAAACAAUUGCAGAAUUUCUCUAAUAUGUUCUCUUUUCCAAUUCAGAGCAUUCUGGACCUUCUAUUACUUCAGGUAUUGUAAAUAAAGUUAGAGGAAUUGAGCCAACCCAAUUCUUUCAUUCCAUUGAAAUUUAUUAACUUGGAACCCGUGACAGACUGCAGAUUUGUUUUGAUAGAUAGAUAGAUCUGUUUUGAUUUGACAUUAAUUUAUUUCUUGGAGGGGAGCAUGGAGCUUCCUACCAAGUGACAUUUAUCUAAAAAUGUUUAUAUAAUUAUAAUAAAAUGUUUUUAUUGAA
Molecule: non-coding RNA, 2053 nt
Organism: Chiloscyllium plagiosum (whitespotted bambooshark)
Lineage: Eukaryota; Metazoa; Chordata; Chondrichthyes; Orectolobiformes; Hemiscylliidae
Source: RefSeq, a predicted model, not a curated record